This is a long non-coding RNA of Nerophis ophidion (straightnose pipefish), 272 nucleotides long. RefSeq lists it as uncharacterized. The transcript is spliced from 3 exons. The record is from RefSeq and is a predicted model, not a curated record. NCBI's taxonomy places the organism in Eukaryota, Metazoa, Chordata, Actinopteri, Syngnathiformes, Syngnathidae.
GCUAGUUGCUAGCGAGCGGACGAGAGGCGGUGCAACUGUCAGUGUUUUGAAGGAUGUCAAUGAAAAGAAAACUGGAUAUAAGAGACUUCUUUAGGAGUCAAACUGUGACAGACAGCAGAGAGGCUGGAGGAGAUGGAGGAGGAGAGGCCAGAGAAGUUAGAGGAAGAGAGGCAGGAGGAAGUAGAGAAGGAGAGGCUGGAGAUUAUUACAGUUAAUUUAUGUUUAUUUACAAUGUUGUAUUGCAUUAAUGUAAUUCUGAUGUUGUUGAUGGA